GGAUGACAGCAUGUCACCGUCUAGCAGUGCUGCGUUUUUCACUUCUUCGAAUUCGCUGCUUAAGCUCGAAACCACUUGGAGGCCGAGGUUGCAGUAGUGCUCGUCUGCUGUAUGAUCAUCGGGGUCUUCACUGAAAUCGUCUGAGAUUACGCUGGAGGCAGCGCUUGCAGUUGUGUCUGCCUUUGCUGCUCGGACAGUGCGUAUGCCUUCCGAACGGAUGAUUUCUAAGACAACA
RNAcentral lists this long non-coding RNA (235 nucleotides) under Linum usitatissimum (flax). Its description in RNAcentral is "long non-coding RNA (LUSI_LNC000421)". Lineage: Eukaryota; Viridiplantae; Streptophyta; Magnoliopsida; Malpighiales; Linaceae. The record is from RNAcentral.